AACGAACGCUGGCGGCAGGCCUAACACAUGCAAGUCGAACGCCCCGCAAGGGGAGUGGCAGACGGGUGAGUAACGCGUGGGAACCUACCUAGUGGUACGGAAUAACUCCGGGAAACCAGUGCUAAUACCGUAUACGCCCUUUGGGGGAAAGAUUUAUCGCCAUUAGAUGGGCCCGCGUCGGAUUAGCUAGUUGGUGAGGUAAAGGCUCACCAAGGCGACGAUCCGUAGCUGGUCUGAGAGGAUGAUCAGCCACACUGGGACUGAGACACGGCCCAGACUCCUACGGGAGGCAGCAGUGGGGAAUAUUGGACAAUGGGCGCAAGCCUGAUCCAGCCAUGCCGCGUGGGUGAAGAAGGCCCUAGGGUUGUAAAGCCCUUUCGGCGGGGAAGAUAAUGACGGUACCCGCAGAAGAAGCCCCGGCUAACUUCGUGCCAGCAGCCGCCGUAA
This 447-nucleotide ribosomal RNA is filed under the name uncultured bacterium. Its description in RNAcentral is "partial 16S ribosomal RNA". It matches the Rfam family "Bacterial small subunit ribosomal RNA", at positions 29 to 523 of the family's 1533-position model. The record is from RNAcentral.